Molecule: long non-coding RNA, 981 nt
Organism: Hibiscus syriacus
Lineage: Eukaryota; Viridiplantae; Streptophyta; Magnoliopsida; Malvales; Malvaceae
Exons: 6
Source: RefSeq, a predicted model, not a curated record
AAACUCAUAUUUUGCUUGGCAGAGGAUGGUUGACGCCGUAAAGGUUUUCAUUCUCCAUCUUCAGCUCAAGGCAUUUAUUUUCAUGGGACGUUUACUUGAAAAGCCCUCACUAAAGUCAUGGUGUAAUAGUGAUUUGGGAAGAACUUCUAGCAGAGAUACUUCAUCUGCCAGAUUGGUCAGAGGUCUCUUUAGGAUCUGGAAUCCCUUGUAGGAUUGUUUUCUCGUAUGCUGGAGUCAGGGAUGUUUACGUAGUAGCAGUGGCACAAGGAAUUUCUGGAAAAUUGAUUCUUGCGGAGAAGCAUCCUUUCAAGAAUCAGCAUGGUGUUGUAAUUGCCAUUGCUCCCCUGGCAGGGUUAAGUCCACAGGUAGACUAGGACCACCCGACAUGGUUACAUCUUCAGAUAAGAGAAUUCGAUCCAGAUUUUUUUAAAGCUAAAGUCAACCAAUCUAAGGUUUCCAAUACCCCUGCCGAUGGGAGAUGGACACUUGGGUUCCAUAGUGCAAAGGCUUGUGAGACUGCUCAGUUAUUGAUUCUUGAAGAGACUAGUAAGCCAAGGUCCUCUGUUGAGAGCAUGCUUGCUCCACUGCUUCAGGAAGAUUAUCUAGAAAAAAUAUGGAUAGCCGAGUGAUUAAAGCUCCAGCCUGAGUUCUAGGAGUGGAGCCAUUGUACCACUCUUCUCAUCUGCAGUUUUCCAUGUGACGGCCAACAAAGGUAGAGAAGACGCUUUUUGACUGGAGGAGGCUCUGAAAAAAAUACUCACUGGGGAAAAAAGAAUAAACAGUUGAGAGUUUUGGAUUAUUUGUUGUUGUAAGGAACUCCUUGGGUCCUACUUCUCUAUUAAUUUGUCUACACCACUCACAUACAAAUCAUAUAAUUGUUUCAUCACCCCAUGUAGGACAGUGUAAUGUAAUGUUAAUUGUGUGUAUACUUUUGUGCUCUAUAAAUUCUUAGGUUGAUUCGGGAGUCUUUUGUUUGUUAAA